RNAcentral lists this ribosomal RNA (406 nucleotides) under Skermania sp. ID1734. RNAcentral describes it as "partial 23S ribosomal RNA". It matches the Rfam family "Bacterial large subunit ribosomal RNA", at positions 2522 to 2925 of the family's 2925-position model. The record is from RNAcentral. Lineage: Bacteria; Bacillati; Actinomycetota; Actinomycetes; Mycobacteriales; Gordoniaceae.
CACCUCGAUGUCGGCUCGUCGCAUCCUGGGGCUGGAGUAGGUCCCAAGGGUUGGGCUGUUCGCCCAUUAAAGCGGCACGCGAGCUGGGUUUAGAACGUCGUGAGACAGUUCGGUCUCUAUCCGCCGCGCGCGUUAGAAACUUGAGGAAGGCUGUCCCUAGUACGAGAGGACCGGGACGGACGAACCUCUGGUAUGCCAGUUGUUCCACCAGGAGCACCGCUGGUUAGCUACGUUCGGAAGGGAUAACCGCUGAAAGCAUCUAAGCGGGAAGCCCGUUCCAAGAUAAGGUUUCUCCCACCACAGAGUGGAUAAGGCCCCCCACAGACCAUGGGGUUGAUAGGCCAGAACUGGAAGCCCAGCAAUGGGUGCAGGUGACUGGUACUAAACGGCCGAAGACUUACCACAA